UUCAGCAAACCACUUGCAGAUCAAAGAUCCUUGAAGAGAUAUGGAGUCUGAAACAAAGAGCAAUAAUGACAGAGGCGAACAUAGACACAACAUGUAUUUUGAAAUUAAGGAUACAUUUUCGUGUGUUACAAAGGAAAAGGACGCACCCUUAAAUAUACGACUUGUCAAACCAACGAAAAAGGAAAACCAGUGGCUCUUGUCUGCAUGUAUUCGUCAGCAUUGAAAUCGUCAGCGUGGGAGCCCCAUAAUGCAACGGAUGCUGUUUCACUGCACCCAAAUCAUUUAAGAUCAGAUUAUGAUUUGCACCCAAAUCAUAAUGUACCUGAACAGACCGUGUUGUCUUUGUCCCUUUCUCUCAAUGUUUGGAAUGGCACCAAACUGCAUGCAUACCUAGGGAAAUCCAAGGGUAACGGUGAUAUCUCAGUAACAUUAGUAUACCUUGCCAUUAUGGGUUUGUCCAUAGCAUGAUAUGUAUCUCGUGCUUGAGCAACGACACGGAAAUAUCUUAUGUAAUAUUCUCGUAUUUUCGGCAUGAAAGCAGGAAUCCACUCUUGCUGAAUCUCAGCAUCCAUUCCAUUGUAUCAGACUGUGGAGAAGGCAUAAUCAGUGACAAAUUUGAAUACAGAACUUUAAUGAUGGAAACAGAUUUUGAAAAGUGUGAUUACCUCUUCAUCGAGCAUGACAAAGUUAAGCCUGAUUAUGUUCGUAGGAUCGCGGCUGUCCAAAUGUGUUGUUAUCCAUGUUACUCUGACCUUUACCAUCCAUCGAUGGGACUGUUCAUGAACAUGCCUAAGAAGAACGGGUUCCAUGCCGAUGACAGCCACAGUCGUUAUGAAUACUGAGUAGUCGAUUGAGG
Molecule: long non-coding RNA, 856 nt
Filed under: Zea mays
Lineage: Eukaryota; Viridiplantae; Streptophyta; Magnoliopsida; Poales; Poaceae
Description: long non-coding RNA (ZMAY_LNC004627)
Source: RNAcentral